RNAcentral lists this ribosomal RNA (524 nucleotides) under Sporothrix mexicana. Its description in RNAcentral is "eukaryotic LSU rRNA". The stretch from base 177 to 330 matches the Rfam family "5.8S ribosomal RNA". The record is from RNAcentral. Lineage: Eukaryota; Fungi; Ascomycota; Sordariomycetes; Ophiostomatales; Ophiostomataceae.
GUUACACAACUCCAACCCUUGUGAACCAUACCCAAAUCGUUCUCGUUGCUUCCGGCGGGGGGGACGGGGGGGCCUGAAAACGGCCCUCCCGCCCCGCCCGCCGGGGGCGGCGGGCCCUACGAACCUUUAUAUCUCAACCACUAGAAACCGUCUGAGGAUUAAAAACAAAUAAUCAAAACUUUCAACAACGGAUCUCUUGGCUCUGGCAUCGAUGAAGAACGCAGCGAAAUGCGAUACGUAAUGUGAAUUGCAGAAUUCAGCGAACCAUCGAAUCUUUGAACGCACAUUGCGCCCGCCAGUAUUCUGGCGGGCAUGCCUGUCCGAGCGUCAUUUCCCCCCUCACGCGCCCCGUUGCGCGCUGGUGUUGGGGCUCCUCCGCCUGGCGGAGGGCCCCGAAAGCGAGUGGCGGGCCCGGCUGGUUGGCUCCGAGCGCAGUACUGGACGCAAGUUCUCUCCCCUCGCUCAGACGCCCCGCCGGCGCCCUGCCGUCAAAACGCGCAUGACGUGCAACUUUUUACAAGGUU